UUAAGCGACUAAGCGUACACGGUGGAUGCCCUGGCAGUCAGAGGCGAUGAAGGACGUGCUAAUCUGCGAAAAGCGUCGGUAAGGUGAUAUGAACCGUUACAGCCGGCGAUGUCCGAAUGGGGAAACCCAGUGCAAUUCGUUGCACUAUCGUUAACUGAAUACAUAGGUUAACGAGGCGAACCGGGGGAACUGAAACAUCUAAGUACCCCGAGGAAAAGAAAUCAACCGAGAUUCCCCCAGUAGCGGCGAGCGAACGGGGAGCAGCCCAGAGUCUGAAUCAGCUUGUGUGUUAGUGGAACGGUCUGGAAAGUCCGACGGUACAGGGUGAUAGUCCCGUACACCAAAAUGCACAGGCUGUGAACUCGAAGAGUAGGGCGGGACACGUGGUAUCCUGUCUGAAUAUGGGGGGACCAUCCUCCAAGGCUAAAUACUCCUGACUGACCGAUAGUGAACCAGUACCGUGAGGGAAAGGCGAAAAGAACCCCGGCGAGGGGAGUGAAAAAGAACCUGAAACCGUGUACGUACAAGCAGUGGGAGCACCUUCGGGUGUGACUGCGUACCUUUUGUAUAAUGGGUCAGCGACUUAUAUUCUGUAGCAAGGUUAACCGUAUAGGGGAGCCGCAGGGAAACCGAGUCUUAACUGGGCGUUAAGUUGCAGGGUAUAGACCCGAAACCCGGUGAUCUAGCCAUGGGCAGGUUGAAGGUUGGGUAACACUAACUGGAGGACCGAACCGACUAAUGUUGAAAAAUUAGCGGAUGACUUGUGGCUGGGGGUGAAAGGCCAAUCAAACCGGGAGAUAGCUGGUUCUCCCCGAAAGCUAUUUAGGUAGCGCCUCGUGAACUCAUCUUCGGGGGUAGAGCACUGUUUCGGCUAGGGGGUCAUCCCGACUUACCAACCCGAUGCAAACUACGAAUACCGAAGAAUGUUAUCACGGGAGACACACGGCGGGUGCUAACGUCCGUCGUGAAGAGGGAAACAACCCAGACCGCCAGCUAAGGUCCCAAAGUCAUGGUUAAGUGGGAAACGAUGUGGGAAGGCACAGACAGCCAGGAUGUUGGCUUAGAAGCAGCCAUCAUUUAAAGAAAGCGUAAUAGCUCACUGGUCGAGUCGGCCUGCGCGGAAGAUGUAACGGGGCUAAACCAUGCACCGAAGCUGCGGCAGCGACACUAUGUGUUGUUGGGUAGGGGAGCGUUCUGUAAGCCUGCGAAGGUGUGCUGUGAGGCAUGCUGGAGGUAUCAGAAGUGCGAAUGCUGACAUAAGUAACGAUAAAGCGGGUGAAAAGCCCGCUCGCCGGAAGACCAAGGGUUCCUGUCCAACGUUAAUCGGGGCAGGGUGAGUCGACCCCUAAGGCGAGGCCGAAAGGCGUAGUCGAUGGGAAACAGGUUAAUAUUCCUGUACUUGGUGUUACUGCGAAGGGGGGACGGAGAAGGCUAUGUUAGCCGGGCGACGGUUGUCCCGGUUUAAGCAUGUAGGCUGAUUGUCCAGGCAAAUCCGGAUAAUCAAGGCUGAGGUGUGAUGACGAGGCACUACGGUGCUGAAGUAACAAAUGCCCUGCUUCCAGGAAAAGCCUCUAAGCAUCAGGUAACAUCAAAUCGUACCCCAAACCGACACAGGUGGUCAGGUAGAGAAUACCAAGGCGCUUGAGAGAACUCGGGUGAAGGAACUAGGCAAAAUGGUGCCGUAACUUCGGGAGAAGGCACGCUGGUGUGUAGGUGAAGUCCCUGCGGAUGGAGCUGAGACCAGUCGAAGAUACCAGCUGGCUGCAACUGUUUAUUAAAAACACAGCACUGUGCAAACACGAAAGUGGACGUAUACGGUGUGACGCCUGCCCGGUGCCGGAAGGUUAAUUGAUGGGGUUAUCCGUAAGGAGAAGCUCUUGAUCGAAGCCCCGGUAAACGGCGGCCGUAACUAUAACGGUCCUAAGGUAGCGAAAUUCCUUGUCGGGUAAGUUCCGACCUGCACGAAUGGCGUAAUGAUGGCCAGGCUGUCUCCACCCGAGACUCAGUGAAAUUGAACUCGCUGUGAAGAUGCAGUGUACCCGCGGCAAGACGGAAAGACCCCGUGAACCUUUACUAUAGCUUGACACUGAACAUUGAGCCUUGAUGUGUAGGAUAGGUGGGAGGCUUUGAAGCGUGGACGCCAGUCUGCGUGGAGCCAACCUUGAAAUACCACCCUUUAAUGUUUGAUGUUCUAACGUUGGCCCCUGACCGGGGUUGCGGACAGUGUCUGGUGGGUAGUUUGACUGGGGCGGUCUCCUCCCAAAGCGUAACGGAGGAGCACGAAGGUUAGCUAAUCCUGGUCGGACAUCAGGAGGUUAGUGCAAUGGCAUAAGCUAGCUUGACUGCGAGCGUGACGGCGCGAGCAGGUGCGAAAGCAGGUCAUAGUGAUCCGGUGGUUCUGAAUGGAAGGGCCAUCGCUCAACGGAUAAAAGGUACUCCGGGGAUAACAGGCUGAUACCGCCCAAGAGUUCAUAUCGACGGCGGUGUUUGGCACCUCGAUGUCGGCUCAUCACAUCCUGGGGCUGAAGUAGGUCCCAAGGGUAUGGCUGUUCGCCAUUUAAAGUGGUACGCGAGCUGGGUUUAGAACGUCGUGAGACAGUUCGGUCCCUAUCUGCCGUGGGCGCUGGAGAAUUGAGGGGGGCUGCUCCUAGUACGAGAGGACCGGAGUGGACGCAUCACUGGUGUUCGGGUUGUCAUGCCAAUGGCACUGCCCGGUAGCUAAAUGCGGAAGAGAUAAGUGCUGAAAGCAUCUAAGCACGAAACUUGCCCCGAGAUGAGUUCUCCCUGAGACUAUAAGUCUCCUGAAGGAACGUUGAAGACGACGACGUUGAUAGGCCGGGUGUGUAAGCGCAGCGAUGCGUUGAGCUAACCGGUACUAAUGAACCGUGAGGCUUAACCUU
RNAcentral lists this ribosomal RNA (2900 nucleotides) under Klebsiella pneumoniae. RNAcentral describes it as "bacterial LSU rRNA". It matches the Rfam family "Bacterial large subunit ribosomal RNA". The record is from RNAcentral. Lineage: Bacteria; Pseudomonadati; Pseudomonadota; Gammaproteobacteria; Enterobacterales; Enterobacteriaceae.